RNAcentral lists this small nuclear RNA (22 nucleotides) under Arabidopsis thaliana (thale cress). RNAcentral's name for it is "snRNA_17040". The record is from RNAcentral. Lineage: Eukaryota; Viridiplantae; Streptophyta; Magnoliopsida; Brassicales; Brassicaceae.
AUCGUUUGACUUGGCACGUGGC